This 253-nucleotide ribosomal RNA is filed under the name uncultured bacterium. RNAcentral describes it as "partial 16S ribosomal RNA". It matches the Rfam family "Bacterial small subunit ribosomal RNA", at positions 524 to 776 of the family's 1533-position model. The record is from RNAcentral.
UACGUAGGGUGCGAGCGUUAAUCGGAAUUACUGGGCGUAAAGCGUGCGCAGGCGGUUAUGUAAGACAGGUGUGAAAUCCCCGGGCUUAACCUGGGAACUGCAUUUGUGACUGCAUAGCUAGAGUACGGUAGAGGGGGAUGGAAUUCCGCGUGUAGCAGUGAAAUGCGUAGAUAUGCGGAGGAACACCGAUGGCGAAGGCAAUCCCCUGGACCUGUACUGACGCUGAGGAGCGAAAGCGUGGGGAGCGAACAGG